UAUUGUUACAGUAGCUACACUAUCAAGAGAUCCAGGACCAUUGAGUGACGCUAAUGUUGAACCAAGUUAUUUUGAUCCGCCAAUUGAAGCAACAGAUGUGAGAGAGAUGACUAAAGAAACGACAAGUGAUGAAGAUGACAAAAAGUGAUGAAAUGAAGAACUACUAUAUUAUCUAUCUUUUGUGUGCCUUUGACCUUAUACAUUCUAAGCUACUGUACAUGUAACAUGAGUAGUUAGUGUUGCUUUAUAUGCUAUAUUUGAGGCUUUUUUAGUUAGUUAUAGUUUGGUUUUUUGUGAUUUGAAAAUUUUUUAUUUUUAGUAAGAACUCUUUAAUUUAGAUCUCUUUGCCUUGCAGAUACUCUAGUCUGAAUCUUGAAGAAUUGUAAAUAAACUCAAUAUUUAGUGACAGUAGUGUUGUUGAGCCAUAUCUUAAACCAAAAUAGAUUCUAUAUAUUAUACUGUACCAUGUUUCAUUUCAGAUGAUCAAAGUAUUAGCAUGAACCAAAACAGAAGCCACAAAACAGCUCCAUUACAUUCAAUCAAGUCAAAAGGAAUUUAUAGUAUUAGACUAUAUAAACUAUUCUAAUUUAACGAAGAGACAACUUUGAGUUUGACUAUACCUUCCAAUCAUGAGCAAAGAAGGGCAGAAGGGCGAGUGGAGGAG
Amphimedon queenslandica is the source of this 664-nucleotide long non-coding RNA. RefSeq lists it as uncharacterized. The record is from RefSeq and is a predicted model, not a curated record. The transcript is spliced from 4 exons. Lineage: Eukaryota; Metazoa; Porifera; Demospongiae; Haplosclerida; Niphatidae.